This 442-nucleotide ribosomal RNA is filed under the name uncultured bacterium. RNAcentral describes it as "partial 16S ribosomal RNA". It matches the Rfam family "Bacterial small subunit ribosomal RNA", at positions 338 to 795 of the family's 1533-position model. The record is from RNAcentral.
CCUACGGGUGGCAGCAGUAGGGAAUCUUUCACAAUGGACGAAAGCCUGAUGGAGCAACGCCGCGUGCAGGAUGAAGGCCUUCGGGUUGUAAACUGCUUUUAUAAGCGAGGAAUAUGAUGGUAACUUAUGAAUAAGGAUCGGCUAACUACGUGCCAGCAGCCGCGGUCAUACGUAGGAUCCGAGCAUUAUCCGGAGUGACUGGGUGUAAAGAGUUGCGUAGGUGGCAUAAUAAGUAGCUAGUGAAAUCUGGUGGCUCAACCAUUCAGACUAUUAGCUAAACUGUUAAGCUCGAGACCGUUAGGGGUAACUGGAAUUUCUAGUGUAGGAGUGAAAUCCGUAGAUAUUAGAAGGAACACCAAUAGCGUAGGCAGGUUGCUGGGACGGUUCUGACACUAAGGCACGAAAGCGUAGGGAGCAAACGGGAUUAGAUACCCGAGUAGUC